Molecule: microRNA precursor, 129 nt
Filed under: Arabidopsis lyrata
Lineage: Eukaryota; Viridiplantae; Streptophyta; Magnoliopsida; Brassicales; Brassicaceae
Description: miR3436 stem-loop (aly-MIR3436)
Source: miRBase by way of RNAcentral
AAAAUUAUGUUUUCAAGCGAGCAAAAAUCAUUGUUGAUUUUGAAAAAGGUUUUAAGGUUACCGGUUCUGUUUGUUUGUUAUCCUUUUAAGAUCAACAACGAUUUUUGGGUCGUUUAAAAGUAUAAUUUU